CAGCCGCCGCGGUAAUACAUAGGGUGCGAGCGUUAUCCGGAUUUAUUGGGCGUAAAGGGUGUGUAGGCUGUUUAUUAAGUAUGAAAUCAAAGCCCGAGGCUCAACCUCGGUUCGUUUCAUAAACUGAUAGACUUGAGUAUGGUAGAGGCAAAUGGAAUUUCUAGUGUAGCGGUAAAAUGUGUAGAUAUUAGAAGGAACAUCAGUGGCGAAGGCGAUUUGCUGGGCCAUUACUGACGCUGAGACACGAAAGCGUGGGGAGCAAAUAGGAUUAGAUACCCUAGUAGUCCACGCCGUAAACGAUGAGUACUAAGUGUCGGAAUUAUUCGGUGCUGAAGUUAACACAUUAAGUACUCCGCCUGAGUAGUACAGUCGCAAGACCGAAACUCAAAGGAAUUGACGGGCACCCGCACAAGCGGUGGAGCAUGCUGUUUAAUUCGAAGAUACGCGAAGAACCUUACCUAGACUUGACAUGCUGAUGAUCGAUUUAGAAAUAAAUCUUUCCCUUCGGGGACAUCAGACACAGGUGGUGCAUGGCC
RNAcentral lists this ribosomal RNA (536 nucleotides) under uncultured archaeon. RNAcentral describes it as "bacterial SSU rRNA". It matches the Rfam family "Bacterial small subunit ribosomal RNA", at positions 509 to 1050 of the family's 1533-position model. The record is from RNAcentral.